AUUGUACUCCCUCUGUCCGGAAAUACUUGUCGGAUAAAUGCAUAAAUAUGAAUGUAUCUAGAAUUAAAAUACGUCUAGAUACAUCUAUUCCUCCGACAAGUAUUUCCGGACGGAGAGAGCAGAUG
This is a non-coding RNA of Triticum aestivum (bread wheat), 125 nucleotides long. Lineage: Eukaryota; Viridiplantae; Streptophyta; Magnoliopsida; Poales; Poaceae. The record is from Rfam.